GACGAACGAUGGCGGCGUGCUUAACACAUGCAAGUCGAACGGAAAGGCCUCUUUCGGGGGGUACUCGAGUGGCGAACGGGUGAGUAACACGUGAGUAACCUGCCCUUGACUUUGGGAUAACUUCAGGAAACUGGGGCUAAUACCGGAUAGGAGCUCCUGCUGCAUGGUGGGGGUUGGAAAGUUUCGGCGGUUGGGGAUGGACUCGCGGCUUAUCAGCUUGUUGGUGGGGUAGUGGCUUACCAAGGCUUUGACGGGUAGCCGGCCUGAGAGGGUGACCGGCCACAUUGGGACUGAGAUACGGCCCAGACUCCUACGGGAGGCAGCAGUGGGGAAUAUUGCACAAUGGGUGGAAGCCUGAUGCAGCAACGCCGUGUGCGGGAUGACGGCCUUCGGGUUGUAAACCGCUUUCGCUCAUGACGAAGCUUUGUGUGACGGUAGUGGGUAAAGAAGCACCGGCUAACUACGUG
This 467-nucleotide ribosomal RNA is filed under the name uncultured bacterium. RNAcentral's name for it is "partial 16S ribosomal RNA". It matches the Rfam family "Bacterial small subunit ribosomal RNA", at positions 28 to 507 of the family's 1533-position model. The record is from RNAcentral.